GCACAAGCGGAGGAACAUGUGGUUUAAUUCGAUGAUACGCGAGGAACCUUACCUGGGCUUAAAUGUAGAGUGCAUGAUGUGGAAACAUGUCUUCCCUUCGGGGCUCUCUGCAAGGUGCUGCAUGGUUGUCGUCAGCUCGUGCCGUGAGGUGUCGGGUUAAGUCCCAUAACGAGCGCAACCCUUAUCGUUAGUUGCCAGCGGGUAAUGCCGGGAACUCUAACGAAACUGCCGGUGUAAACCGAGAGGAAGGUGGGAUGACGUCAAAUCAGCACGGCCCUUAUGUCCAGGGCUACACACGUGUUACAAUGGCCGGUACAGAGGGCAGCUACCUGGAGACAGGAUGCGAAUCUCGAAAGCCGGUCUCAGUUCGGAUCGGAGUCUGCAACUCGACUCCGUGAAGCUGGAUUCGCUAGUAAUCGCGCAUCAGCCAUGGCGCGGUGAAUACGUUCCCGGGCCUU
This 458-nucleotide ribosomal RNA is filed under the name uncultured Sphingobacteriales bacterium. RNAcentral's name for it is "bacterial SSU rRNA". It matches the Rfam family "Bacterial small subunit ribosomal RNA", at positions 923 to 1382 of the family's 1533-position model. Lineage: Bacteria; Pseudomonadati; Bacteroidota; Sphingobacteriia; Sphingobacteriales. The record is from RNAcentral.